AAUGUGUGAGGUGGUGCUAUGUAGCAGGAACCCCUCUUGCUUUGCAAAUAGUUUUUUGUUUGUUUUCCUUUUUGCCCAAUAGAGCCCUGCUCUACUGACCCUUCAAUGUGCCCGUGUGCCUAAAUAUUCCUGGUCGUGUGAAAAGAACCCAGGUAUUAGCUGAACUAAGGAGCACAAUUCUGCAACAUUUUGGCACCCAAACACGGGGCUUGAGAAAUGAAUGCAAUUGGAGAAACUGGUUGUUUUACCAGGCGUUGAUUGGAAAUGUGUGCUUCCCUUUAAGCAGUCAAGCUCAACUUGCAGAACUGAUGGGAACCCCUUGGGAAAACUGGCCUCAAAUGUUUGUCUACACAGUCCACAUACAGGGUUCUUAACCUGCGGAAACACUUUCUGAAAAUGUCAGAACUCUUGAAAACAUGGAUGAGGAAAAGCAUAAGUACUGCUUUAUGCUUUUCUUAUGAAUUUUAAAAGAUGUAAUUUAAAGAUUGAAACUCCCACAACUUUGGCAGACCAACUCCUCAGAAAACAUUAUUCUUUGACAUCAAUAUGUUUUGCACAAAAUUGAAUGGCAAGUGAAAGGCAUCAAAUGAUGGAGUCUUGUUCUGUGGUCCAGGCUAGAGGGCAGUGGCAUGAUCUCGGCUCACUACAAGCUCUGCCUCCCGGGUUCACGCCAUUCUCCUGCCUCAGCCUCCUGAGUAGCUGGGACUACAGGCGCCCGCCACCACGCCUGGCUAAUUUUUUGUAUAUUUACUAGAGAUGGCUAGUGUUAGCCAAGAUGGUCUCGAUCUCCUGACCUCGUGAUCUGCCCACCUCAGCCUGCCAAAGUGCUGGGAUUACUGGCGUGAGCCACCGUGCCUGGCCAGCAUCCUCUAAUUAUUAUUCAUAGUUUGUGAAUUUAGGCCUACGUGAAUAAUAAUAUAAUAUUUACUAUGAUGUUACUAUCUACCAACCUUAUUUUUCUUUUCUAUAAAAUAGGAGCCAAAAUAAUAUUUAUGUCAUACCUUAUGAAGUUAAAAUAAAAUAUAACGAAUGAGGGGCUUAACAA
This 1045-nucleotide long non-coding RNA is filed under the name Homo sapiens (human). Its description in RNAcentral is "HSALNT0325740". The record is from RNAcentral. Lineage: Eukaryota; Metazoa; Chordata; Mammalia; Primates; Hominidae.